GUGCCAGCAGCCGCGGUAAUACGUAGGAGGCGAGCGUUAUUCGGAUUUACUGGGUGUAAAGCGCUGGCAGGCGGAUCGGUAAGUUGGAUGUGAAAGCUCCCGGCUUAACUGGGAGAGGUCGUGCAAAACUACCGAUCUUGAGUACAGUAGAGGGAAGUGGAAUUCCGGGUGUAGUGGUGAAAUUCGUAGAUAUCCGGAGGAACACCAGUGGCGAAGGCGGCUUUCUGGAAGGUAACUGACGAUGA
Molecule: ribosomal RNA, 245 nt
Filed under: uncultured bacterium
Lineage: Bacteria
Description: partial 16S rRNA
Rfam family: Bacterial small subunit ribosomal RNA
Source: RNAcentral